AAAAUACACCUUGUCUGACACAAUUUGAGCUUGCUAUAGGAAGAAAGUCUAGCCUAUUCUGGUGUUUUCUUCCCAAUAAGACAACCCGUUAUACAGGCUCAAACAAU
RNAcentral lists this small nucleolar RNA (107 nucleotides) under Nannospalax galili (Upper Galilee mountains blind mole rat). Its description in RNAcentral is "Small nucleolar RNA SNORA28 (ENSNGAG00000002167.1)". It matches the Rfam family "Small nucleolar RNA SNORA28", at positions 20 to 126 of the family's 126-position model. From Rfam's summary of the family: ACA28 is a member of the H/ACA class of snoRNA that guide the sites of modification of uridines to pseudouridines. The record is from Rfam by way of RNAcentral. Lineage: Eukaryota; Metazoa; Chordata; Mammalia; Rodentia; Spalacidae.